Molecule: long non-coding RNA, 547 nt
Filed under: Brassica napus (rape)
Lineage: Eukaryota; Viridiplantae; Streptophyta; Magnoliopsida; Brassicales; Brassicaceae
Description: long non-coding RNA (BNAP_LNC009016)
Source: RNAcentral
CUCAGCGCAAAUUACCAACCCCAUGAUCGAUUUCUACUCUUGUCUUCAUCAGUUGGAAAUCCAAGACCUGAGAUAUCAUGGAGAGAAAUUCACCUGGUCAAACAAACAGCCAGACACUCCCAUAGCCAAGAAGUUGGAUCGUGCCCUAAUAAAUGAACAUUGGUUAAACUCAUACCCUCGUAGCCUCGCGCUGUUCCUUGCCCCCGAGAUUUUGGAUCACACGCCUUGCUAUAUUGAACCAGACCGCCCCCGUCCCCAAGCUGGAACUAAACCCUUCAAGUUCUUCAACUACCUCACCCUUCACCCUGACUUCCUUAAACUGGUUGCUGAAACCUGGGUUUGCACUGAAAUCGAGAAUCACUCAUUAUCUCAAUUGAGUGUUAAGCAAAAAGAGCUAAAGAGUGUUUUAAAAACACUAAACAAAGAGAAAUUCUCAGAUAUUCAAAAAAGGGUUUCACAUACUAACUGUUUGUUCAUGGAUGCGCAGGUACUCUCCCUCCGCCACCCCAACUCAGCUAACUUUUCUGCAGAGAGAGCCCUCCUAGAG